Molecule: ribosomal RNA, 253 nt
Filed under: uncultured bacterium
Lineage: Bacteria
Description: partial 16S ribosomal RNA
Rfam family: Bacterial small subunit ribosomal RNA
Source: RNAcentral
GACAGAGGUCCCAAGCGUUAGGCGGAAUCACUGGGCUUAAAGCGUGUGUAGGCGGAUUUGUAAGUACCUUGUGAAAUCCCACGGCUCAACCGUGGAACUGCUUGGUAUACUGCUUAUCUUGGGCCAUCUAGGGGCGAGCGGAACAAACGGUGGAGCGGUGAAAUGCGUAGAUAUCAGGAAGAACAUCGGUGGCGAAGGCGCUCUGCUGGACCAUAACUGACACUCAGGGACGAAAGCUAGGGGAGCGAAUGGG